AGGGCUCCAAAGAUUCAAUCAUGAGGGCAAAUUACUCAAACUUGCCUACCUUCUCCAAGAAUCAAAAAGGUUAAAGGAAGAAACAAGGGAUCAAUAGCAAAGGAGUAAUCUGAACAAGUCGUCAAUGCGAGAAUUCCAAAUGGUUGAAUGGAUUUGAAGGCAAUUAUUUAAUCUUUUACCUCCAUCAUUUCCAGAAAUAAGCUACACAUUGCAAUAAACCUUUGGAUCUUUU
Amblyraja radiata (thorny skate) is the source of this 232-nucleotide long non-coding RNA. RefSeq lists it as uncharacterized. Lineage: Eukaryota; Metazoa; Chordata; Chondrichthyes; Rajiformes; Rajidae. The transcript is spliced from 3 exons. The record is from RefSeq and is a predicted model, not a curated record.